RNAcentral lists this ribosomal RNA (128 nucleotides) under Lichtheimia hongkongensis. Its description in RNAcentral is "5.8S ribosomal RNA". It matches the Rfam family "5.8S ribosomal RNA", at positions 1 to 128 of the family's 154-position model. Rfam says of the family: 5.8S ribosomal RNA (5.8S rRNA) is a component of the large subunit of the eukaryotic ribosome. The record is from RNAcentral. Lineage: Eukaryota; Fungi; Mucoromycota; Mucoromycetes; Mucorales; Lichtheimiaceae.
CAACUCUUGGCAAUGGAUCUCUUGGUUCUCGCAUCGAUGAAGAGCGUAGCAAAGUGCGAUAAUUAUUGCGACUUGCAUUCAUAGCGAAUCAUCGAGUUCUCGAACGCAUCUUGCGCCUAGUAGUCAAU